RNAcentral lists this ribosomal RNA (958 nucleotides) under uncultured bacterium. Its description in RNAcentral is "partial 16S ribosomal RNA". The stretch from base 24 to 877 matches the Rfam family "Bacterial small subunit ribosomal RNA". The record is from RNAcentral.
CUUAGCCGGUACUCCGAAUGCCUCUAGAUUAGAGUUUGAUCAUGGCUCAGACNUGAACGCUGGCGGUAGGCCUAACACAUGCAAGUCGAACGGCAGCACAGAGGAGCUUGCUCCUUGGGUGGCGGGUGGCGGACGGGUGAGGAAUACAUCGGAAUCUACUCUGUCGUGGGGGAUAACGUAGGGAAACUUACGCUAAUACCGCAUACGACCUACGGGUGAAAGCAGGGGAUCUUCGGACCUUGCGCGAUUGAAUGAGCCGAUGUCGGAUUAGCUAGUUGGCGGGGUAAAGGCCCACCAAGGCGACGAUCCGUAGCUGGUCUGAGAGGAUGAUCAGCCACACUGGAACUGAGACACGGUCCAGACUCCUACGUGGAGGCAGCAGUGGGGAAUAUUGGACAAUGGGCGCAAGCCUGAUCCAGCCAUACCGCGUGGGUGAAGAAGGCCUUCGGGUUGUAAAGCCCUUUUGUUGGGAAAGAAAUCCAGCCGGCUAAUACCUGGUUGGGAUGACGGUACCCAAAGAAUAAGCACCGGCUAACUUCGUGCCAGCAGCCGCGGUAAUACGAAGGGUGCAAGCGUUACUCGGAAUUACUGGGCGUAAAGCGUUGCGUANGUGGGUUAUUUAGUCUCCGCUUGUUUAAAGCCCCUGGGGUUCAACUGGGGAACUNGCGUGGGAUUCCUGGGUUGACCUAGAAUGUNGUCANGGUACGCGAAUUCCCUUGUUGUAGCCUUGGACAUCGGNUGAUCUCCGGGAGGGACUCCCUGGGGGANGGGCGUUCUUGGACCACUUGGAUGUGGACGCUACUGUUCUUGUGUCCUACACGGUAUGACACGGNUNAGCGCCUCCNUUNUGAGCUCNCUGUGUUGUNUAACGCCCUUUAUGGUGAUUCGCGCGCGGGNNUGANGUUAGUGUGCGGGNGUUUUUUUCUCUACCUGCNCUCCGUNACUCUGUGNNANUCNG